CACAUUUCCUGUCACCUGGUAGACCUAGAGCCUUGAUGAGAUUCAGAUUCAAGUUUUUUGGGGGGGUGGGCAACACAGUUUCGUAGGUGGCUGCUGAAUACUUCCUAUAGCAUCACAUUAGGAGCCACAUAAUGUCUGGUUAUCCAAAUUUUGCUGCAGUUAAGAUUGACCUUUAUUAGCUGAGAUUCUUCAAUAAAGAAGAACUUUCCCUCAUCAACCAAGGGAUUACUUUCAAGAGGCUCUCUCUUCGGCUUUCUGCAGUUUCAUUACCACGUGACUAGAUACGACUGGAUACAAGGACCUCAGAACGCUUUCACUCUAUGGUCCACUCAAACAUAGAUGCUGUUGUCAUCGGGAUAUCUGUGAGGCAGUGGAGAAGCCAAGGAGGCGGCGGGCAGUGAGGCCUGAGCAUGGCUUGAUAAGAAGGUCUGCCCCCAGGAUCCAAACCCAUGAACCCCAGGACGCUGAAGUGGAGCACACGAACUUAACACUACACUACCAGACCGGUCCUGCUUCCCUUAAAUCUUGACAUCUGUAUCCAAAUGCUUAAUCAACAUUGGAUGUCUACUCGGCAUUUCAAACUUAACGUGUCCCCAAAUGAAAUCCUGAUUUGCAACCUCAGGCACUCUCCUCCCCUAAUCCUCUCCAUCUGGCAAGAGAUUCUUCCAAAUCUUGGAAUCGUCCACGACUCUACUCUUUUCCUAAUACCUCACAUUCACUCCAUCAGCAAAUAUCAUCACCUGUAUCUUGGCCAUAUCUUCAGAACCGGAGCUUCUCAUCACCUCCAAAGCUACCGCCUUCGCCCAAACCACCACCAGCUUUGCCUGGGCUAUUUCGAAAGCUUCUAACCAGUCUCUCUGGUCCCACUCGUGCCCACUCUGUUACUGCAUGUGUGUGAGGAUAUAUACAUAUUCAUUUACUCUAACAGAGACCCAAAUAAACAUUGCCUUAAACAAGACAGGGUUUGUUUCUCACUCAUGUAGCCGCAGGGCGGAAGGAGCUCAGGACUUGUGGGGCAG
RNAcentral lists this long non-coding RNA (1019 nucleotides) under Equus asinus (donkey). Its description in RNAcentral is "lncRNA (ENSEASG00005030460.1)". Lineage: Eukaryota; Metazoa; Chordata; Mammalia; Perissodactyla; Equidae. The record is from RNAcentral.